Molecule: long non-coding RNA, 1474 nt
Organism: Raphanus sativus (radish)
Lineage: Eukaryota; Viridiplantae; Streptophyta; Magnoliopsida; Brassicales; Brassicaceae
Exons: 5
Source: RefSeq, a predicted model, not a curated record
AAGCCCUGUAACAAAAGAAAAAGAAGCAAACGGAACAGUUUUUUUUACUCUUCAAAAAAUAUCUGUCUGAAAAGUCUACACUUUCUCUCUAUCAAAACUUUUUUUUUUUGCGAUUCACCACUACUGUCAAACCAGUUUCUCAGAUCUCUUCAGAUCUUAUCCAAGCGGUUGAAGUAUUAGCUACAUGAUGUGUCUAACGCAUCUAUGAAGAAAGAAAAGUUUGAUUUGUGCAAGGUCGGGCAGAAAUAUAAUCAAAGCUGGAGUAAAGUGUCUAACAUUGCAAACCAUUGAAGAUAAAAAAUAGGAAUGUCAAACACUUUCAUAAUUACAAUAGAAUUGUAUAGAUUGCGGUAGCUAUUAUUUUCCGGAAGGUGGGGAUUACUUUCACUUGAAUACACUAACUGGUUUUGAAUGGUUUCACGCCAGAAAGGCGUGGAUGACUUCGGCUUCUCAACCAAGUUGUUAAUCGCUUCAAGGUACACGAUCCUUUUUUGGAUGACAUUAUAUGAGAAGAAGCGUUUUGAAUUCUGUGUGUUUGCUUUGAGACAAAUAAACUGUAUAUAUAGGAAAAUAAAAGUUAGUGUAUUUUAGGAUAUUCCACAGUUUAAUAUUGUUAGAGAAUAUAAGCCGUUAGUUUAGCAAAAUCAUAUAUCUUGCGAAUCAAGUUUUUUCAAGAUAUAAAAACUUAAAUUUUCGGGUUUUUAUGAUAUAGAUUUAAGUUUCCGAAUUCUGCGGUUUGUUGUUUUCAUUGGUUGUUAUUGAUAUUUUAAGAUAUGGAAAUAUAAAUAUCGAUUUAUGAGUUAGUAUAUUCGGUAUUGUUAUUUAAGCAAGUUCCGAAAAUCAAGUUUAUAUACUUAAAUUUAAGUUUUUUAUUUAAUGGUGUAGAUAUUUAUGGUUAUUGAUUUGAAAAAGAUUGGUACUUAAUGAUCUAGUGUAUUCUAUAUGGUUAUGUAUGGAAUUUCCGAAAAUCUAGUAUAUUUGCCAAAUUUUUAGCUUUUGAUUUAGUGGUUUAUAUUUUUGGUUAUUUAUUUAUAAAACUGUGCAAAUCCUAUAAUUUGGUCGACUAUAUUGCACAUUGGUUAAUCCGUUGAGGAUUCAAAGCAUCUGUAUUUAUUUUGUAUAAGUUUAUUGUUUAUAUUAGUUUAUAUGCUGAAAAUAUAUAAACAUGAAUCGGAAAAUUAAAAAGGAUCGAUAUUCGUGAUUUUAAACAACGCAACAGGUAUGUUUUCUGGUGCAAUUGUUUGUAAUCAAAACAUUGAUUGGAAGUGAUGAAUGGUUGAUACACUAAUAUUAACGUAAUGUAUUGUUUUUAAUUUUCAUUUGCAGAAUCCAAUAAACUUUGAACCUUGGAUGUCCAUGGAGCAUUAUUAUAAAUAUACAAAGAUUUGGUACAUAUAUUGUCUAAGAAAUGAGUAUCAGUGUGUUAUAACAAUAGAAACUUCGACGUAAUCUAUAAAAUAUCCUUGGAUAAGAA